Molecule: long non-coding RNA, 577 nt
Filed under: Gallus gallus (chicken)
Lineage: Eukaryota; Metazoa; Chordata; Aves; Galliformes; Phasianidae
Description: long non-coding RNA NONGGAT008466
Source: RNAcentral
CUGGCAUCCUCACCUUUCUUCUCUCCUUGAUCUUCACACCAUUAACAUGAUCAGGUCAAAGCUGCAUUUUCUUAAGCAUCCAUGUCCUUCAUCACUUAGAAAUGUAGUCUCUCAGACCUUUGUUUUGUCACAAAACUAUUGUGUUCGUGAACUUUGCUGUUAGAUUCCAGAGUCUGGGAGCUGGCAGAUUCCGUGGACUGCAUAGUGCUGUAACAGUUCACGGUCUCAAGGAGAAAAGCAAAUCAAGCAUUUUAAUCCACAUUCUAAAACUAAAUGUGGAAGACCUUCAGAAAUGCCGACCAAAAUGUACCAUUUGGAUAGCAUCCAAGUUACUCAAAACAUAAAAUAGAUGAGAGAGGUGGUGUUUCACCUGAUUUGCUUUUGUCCUCCUGCUCUUCAGACAAAGAAAUGGACUCUGGAAUGGCAAAGAGGAGGAUCGGUGCAUUUUAUGAGCAAGUUUUCCACCUAACUUAGGAAUGGCACCAAUAUCCUCACAAUUUCCAAAUCCAGGUGGUGAUGAUAGAUUAAGAUCUUGAGCAGAAGUAAAAGGAAAUCCCAGAGGAACAGCAAGCACGGA